Long non-coding RNA from Rhinolophus ferrumequinum (greater horseshoe bat), 5185 nucleotides. RefSeq lists it as uncharacterized. Lineage: Eukaryota; Metazoa; Chordata; Mammalia; Chiroptera; Rhinolophidae. The record is from RefSeq and is a predicted model, not a curated record. The transcript is spliced from 3 exons.
UACAGCCACUUCCGUGGGUGCUAGGUUAGAAGCUGGGGGCGGUGCUGACCUUGAAAACGCGCCGGGGAGGCGCAGGCGCAGCACAGGUAGGUGGGCGGGCGGCUCGCCGUUGCCGCGCCUGUGAGGAUCCAGAGCAGAGCAACUGGGGAACCUAAUUCUGACCAACAAGGAGGAAUUGCCUGGCUAAUUGGAAGUGACAGAAACCUUGGGAGAAAACAACCACAUACCAAGGAUAAUUAUAAGAAGAAGAAAACACAUGGAGAAGAGGAGGCAAUAUGACCACAGAGGCUAAGAUUGGAGUGAUGUGACAAUAAGUGAAUGAAUGCUGACAGCUACCAGAAGCUAGAAGAGGCAAAAAAACAGAUUCUCCCCUAGGUCUUUCAGAGGAAGUACAGCCCUGCUGACGUCUUGAUUUCAGACUUUUGGCCUCAGAACUGUAAGAAUAAACUUCUACUGUUUUAAACCACCAGUUUGUGGUAAUUUGUCACAGCAGCCCUACAAAGUUAAUACAGAGAGUUUAAAAGGGAUCUGUAGUAAUAUCUCUGGUAGAUUAGGUUUUUGUGGGUUGGAGGGAAUAGGAGACUGAAAUGGACGGUGGAGCGUGGAGAAGGCCUGAGGGACUCCUUGGAGGGAAUGUGUGAAUCAGAGUGGAGUUAGCAAAUUACAGACUACAUAGUCUCUGCCUUGACAGAGAUUGUUAGCUUAAAAGAGACCUCACAGGGUUACCCUGCAUUGCUAGGACCAGGAAAUCAUGUGUCAGGCAGCCAAUGCAGUAUUCAAAGUUGUGUUUGAAUAUUGUAUUUCAUGUUAUAAGAGAGAGUUUCUGUUUGAUUGACAAAUGCUUUCCACUUCCGACGCACUUGAUCUGUCAGGAGUAACAGCUCUCUGUAUGCUGGUAUUUUACUCAGUUCUAUCUAAACUACUCAUUAAAAAAAGUACUUUUAGGACAAUUAAAGGGGUUGCAGUGAUACAGAAGGGAAUCCAUAUCACUUCAAUCGUUACUUGACCAGGAUUUGAUUCAUUCAAUUGAGAGUCCCUCACACCUCUAAUUCCCUACCAGGACCACAUUGAUCCCAGGCAAGAAUCUAAAAGGAAUUCUUAAAAGGAUGCUCUGGCAGUAUCAGAGAAAGCAGUAAUAAGUCAAAUAGAGUAUGGGUUUACCAACCAGAAUUUACUUGUCUAAUUUUAUUUUCUUCCUGACAGGGUUACUAGGCUAGUCCAUUAAUGAAAUGUAGUAGACAAUACUUAUCUGUGCCCAGCACGUAUUGACAUUUUUCAUCGCAUACUUAUGAGUAAAUGGGGGAGGAAAAAGAGCUAGAUGAUAGACUGACUCCUGAAUGGCAGUCAGCCUCUGCAAAGGUUUCUAGUGUAGAACCACUGUCCCUUACUGAGUCAAUGCUGUAUUUCAUUGUCUUGAGAAAAUGCAUAGAACCCAUAUUUAUCAAAAUUUCACCCAAUUCAAAGUUGGAAAGGGUAGGGGGUUUUACAAACCUUAGAACAGCUUGAUGUUGACUUUGGGCUAAAAUCUAGAUAGUCAUUAUUGGAAUCAUAAAAUUUUGGGAUUCUAACCAUGUAAGUGGAGCCCAACCAAUAGGGAUUUUUAAGUUGAUUCACUUAUUUUGGUGUCACAAAUUUAUGGAACAUCUACGCUGUGUAAAUGUCUAUAUUAGACUUUAGAAAGAUGAUUAUUGUCCUUGGAUUGCAGGAGUUUAAUAUCCGGUGAGUAAAACAGACUUGUAAACAGAUCAAACAUAUUACAGCAUAAAUAUUCAUCAUAAGGCCUUAUAUUUAGGAAAUAUAAAAAAAAACCAAUUAACUACAUUUAAUUGUUUGGGAUGGAGUGGCACUAGCAUAUGUAAAACAUCUUUAAGAGUUUAAUUAGCUGGAAAAAUAUAAUACUUGUCAAGAAUAUGACAGUGAGCUGAUAUUCUAGCUCAUACAGUUGACUUUCUAAAAAUUAACAAUGGUUUAAACACCCAGAGGAGGAAAUACAAAUAGCUAAUAGAGAUAUAAAAACCUUGUAAAAAGUCAUUCUCAUUUGUAAGCAAAUCAAGACAACAGAUUUUAAAAAAAUUAAUAAUAGUAUCCCAUCCUUGCAAAGGUGUGGUGAAAUGAGCACUUACAUACUGCUGGUGCAAACAUAAAAUGGUAAUAUUAUAUACAAGAUAUCAUAUACAAGUCAUACUAUGCAAUACAGCUAUUUUCUUCUAGGAAUCUACUUUAAGAAAUAAUCUAAAAUAUAUACAUAAAAUAUACAUGAGGAAGUCCAUAACUGCAUUAUUUAUAAUAGCAAAAAAUGUUUAAGAUGAAUGAUUAAAAACAUAUGUCUUAUGAUGGAAUGUCACAAUAAUCAGAAUUGUGUCUUAAAAAGAGAGUGUCUGCUAUAUUAUAUUUAUUAUAUAAAGUUAUAUCAAAUUAUAUUAUAUCAUAUUAUAUUAUAUCAUAUUAUAUAUUCAAGUAUAAGGUUAGGGAUCAUGACUUUUCACUGUAAACCUUGGACAUUUUGAAUUUUGGGCCAUAUGCAUGUAACACAUUCAAAAAAUAAACAAAAUUUAAAAAUAUUCAGCUUAAAAUUUUAAAAAUACAUUUACAAAUCUUUUUUGUACCAUGUUAGGAAAUACACUAAGUGAAAUGCAAGGAAAUUUCAUUAUUUACUGCAUAAAAUAUGUAUAGUUAGAAAAUGUAUUUACUCUGGCUGUGUUACUAGAAAUAUUUUGUUCAGUAUUUUGCAUCAUAAGAAAUCUGGGACUACUUUACAUACAAGCAAGAAGGAUGGUAAAGAAGCUCAUCUAAGGAAUGAUUGGAGGAAAAUGUGAAUGUUUAGUCUCGAGUAUGUAUGUCUGUCAAUGGCUGUCUUCAAGUAUCUAAAGUACUGUCAUUUGGAAAAGGGACUACACUUCCUCAGGAAAGUCUCAGAGAAUGAAACCAUACCCACUGGCAGGAGCUAUAGUAAGCCAUUUCAGCUCAAUGUCAAAACACUUACAGACUUGCUUACUUGUUUAUGAUCCAUUUCAGCUCAAUAUCAGGGAACACUUCCUAUUAGAACUGGACAAAAAGAGUGAAUUUCCAGUCACUUGAAGGAUUCAAGCAUGAAUUGUCACCAACUUGAUCAGACAUUAUAGAAUAAAUCCAAGCAUCAGAAGUGUGGGUUUUGGUAUGAUUCCAGCCGUGUGAGAAGUUACUUAACCUCUCUGGGACUCAAUUCUCUGUAAAACAGGAAAAUUCGACUAAAUAACUAUCAUGUUCCUUUUGAGUUUUAAAUUGUUUUGAUUCUGCAUUGGUUACAUUCGGCUGUCUUUUCCAGAUUUAACAUAAUAUCAGUCUUUUAUCACUUGAAAUUUAUCUCACUAUACUGGGAGAAUUAAUUGAGGUGUUUAAAAAAGUAUUUGUGAAAAUGCAAAACACUGUGUAAGGAUAAGACGUCAUUAUAGUUCAACAUCAUUGGCCAUUUGGAAAAUAUAAAUUAGCACCACAUUGAGAUAACCACUACACACCUCUUAGAAUGGCUACAAUAAAUGGCUAAAAUACUGAUGAUACCAUGUGCUGACAAGAUGUGGAGCAACUGUAUCUCUCAUACUUUGCUGAUGGGAAUAAAACUGAUACAACUACACUAGAAAACAAUUUGGCAGUUUUUUGUAAAGUUGAACAUAUCCUUGCUAUAAGACCCAGUAAUCCAACUACUGGGUAUUUACUCUAGAGAAAUGAAAACAUACAUUCACAUAGAAAUCUGUGCAUAAAUGUUCGUAUCAGCUUUAUUUGUGAUAGCCAAAAACUCGAAACAACCCAGAUAUCCUCCAAGGGGUGAAUGAAUAAACUGUGGUACAUCCAUAUCAUGGAAUACUACUGAGUAAUAAAAAGGAACAAACUUGAUCCACACAGCAGCUUGCAUGCAUCUCAAGGCUGUUAUGCUGAUGAAAAGCCAAGCUCAAAAGGUUACAUAUGGUAUGAUUCCAUUUAUUUAACAUUCUUAAAAUGAAAAAAUUAUAGUGACAGAGAACAGAUUAAUGGUGCCAGGGGUUAGAGUUGGGAAGUUACUUUGGAGUGAUGGAAUGAUUCUGUGUCCUAAUUAUGGUGAUCACUACAUGAAUCUAUUACAUGUGAUCAAGUUUUAUAGAACAAUAUACCAAAAAAAUUAUGUUUAUCUUCAAGGUUCUGGAAAGCAACAAAAUGUGUAUCUUCAUUCACUUUUUGUUUUCACUGACUUCUUUUAUGUUUAGCUAUGAGCUGUUUUGUAAUCAAUAAUGUGGAAUGUUGAAAAAAGUUUUUCUUCCUGAAGCAUACUGUAGAAAUAAGAGUGUGAGGUGUACUUAUUUUAUGGUAAUUUCACUCUUUAAAGGAGAAAAUGUUAAAAUGUUAAGAUAAAUUCAGGUAAAGCUCACUUUUAUUUAUGUUCUUGUUUUUAAAUUUUACAAUCACAUUUUCAAGGAAUCCUCUGGAAAAAAAUUUUACAUACAUUUUCACAGCUCACUCAAAUGCGAUCCAUUCUUCAUUAUUUAUCUUAUGACUGAAGAGACUGUUAGCCUUGCCAGGUUCUACUUUAGCUGCUGAUUCUCUCUGUUUAUACUUAACUAAACUUCCUUCCAUUCAAAUUGCAUAAUAAACACAGGAGCUUAAAAUUAAUUCCUGUCCUAGGAUGAGAUCAGUACAGAGAGUUUGUCCCAAGAGUGAAAUUCUCUUAUAAGAUGAUCCUUAUGGAUACUAAAAUAUUAGCCACUCUCAGACAGUGUAAGACUGUUAUUGCAGCUAACAUUACCAAUUCUCACUAAUAUUUUCAACCUCUUCUCUUUUUCUGAUAUGUACAGUAGUCCCCACUUAUCUGUGUUCCCAAAACAGUAAAUGAAAAAAUUCCAGAAAUGAACAAUUCAUAAGUUUUAAAUUGUGUGCUGUUCUAAGUAGCGUGAUAAAAUCUCACACUGUCUUUCUGCAUCCAGGCUGAGAAUAAUCCAUUUGUUCAGUGUAUCCACUCUGUGUAUACUAGCCACCCAUCAGUCACUUAGUAGCCGCCUGGGCUAUCAGAUCUACUGUUGAGGUGCAGCAUUGCUUGUGUUUAGGUAACCCUUAUUUUACUUAAUAAUGGCCCCAAAGGUCAAGAAUAGUGAUUCUGUCAAUUCAGAAAUGCCAAAGGACAGCCAUAAAGUGCUUUCUUUAAGUGAAAAGUACAAUUAGAUAUUUUGAGAGAGAGAAA